Transfer RNA from Vigna angularis (adzuki bean), 88 nucleotides. It matches the Rfam family "tRNA". From Rfam's summary of the family: Transfer RNA (tRNA) molecules are approximately 80 nucleotides in length. Their secondary structure includes four short double-helical elements and three loops (D, anti-codon, and T loops). Further hydrogen bonds mediate the characteristic L-shaped molecular structure. tRNAs have two regions of fundamental functional importance: the anti-codon, which is responsible for specific mRNA codon recognition, and the 3' end, to which the tRNAs corresponding amino acid is attached (by aminoacyl-tRNA synthetases). tRNAs cope with the degeneracy of the genetic code in two manners: having more than one tRNA (with a specific anti-codon) for a particular amino acid; and 'wobble' base-pairing, i.e. permitting non-standard base-pairing at the 3rd anti-codon position. Lineage: Eukaryota; Viridiplantae; Streptophyta; Magnoliopsida; Fabales; Fabaceae. The record is from Rfam.
GGAGAGAUGGCCAAGCGGUUCAAGGCAUAGCAUUGGAACCACUAUGUAGGCCUUUUGUUUACCAAGGGUUCAAAUCCCUCUCUUUCCA